UACAGAGGUCUCAAGCGUUGUUCGGAUUCAUUGGGCGUAAAGAGCUCGUAGGCGGUUUGUCGCGUCGAAUGUGAAAACCCGGGGCUCAACUCCGGGCCUGCAUUCGAUACGGGCAGACUAGAGUUCGGUAGGGGAGUCUGGAAUUCCUGGUGUAGCGGUGAAAUGCGCAGAUAUCAGGAGGAACACCGGUGGCGAAGGCGGGACUCUGGGCCGAUACCGACGCUGAGGAGCGAAAGCGUGGGGAGCGAACAGG
This 253-nucleotide ribosomal RNA is filed under the name uncultured bacterium. Its description in RNAcentral is "partial 16S ribosomal RNA". It matches the Rfam family "Bacterial small subunit ribosomal RNA", at positions 524 to 776 of the family's 1533-position model. The record is from RNAcentral.